UACGUAGGGUGCAAGCGUUGUCCGGAAUUAUUGGGCGUAAAGAGCGUGUAGGCGGCCCGAUUAGUCCGCUGUGAAAGUCCAGGGCUCAACCCUGGAAUGCCGGUGGAUACUGUCGGGCUCGAGUCCGGAAGAGGCGAGUGGAAUUCCUGGUGUAGCGGUGGAAUGCGCAGAUAUCAGGAGGAACACCGAUAGCGAAGGCAGCUCGCUGGGACGGUACUGACGCUGAGGUGCGAAAGCGUGGGGAGCGAACAGG
This 253-nucleotide ribosomal RNA is filed under the name uncultured bacterium. RNAcentral's name for it is "partial 16S ribosomal RNA". It matches the Rfam family "Bacterial small subunit ribosomal RNA", at positions 524 to 776 of the family's 1533-position model. The record is from RNAcentral.